This 408-nucleotide long non-coding RNA is filed under the name Rattus norvegicus (Norway rat). RNAcentral describes it as "long non-coding RNA NONRATT002993". Lineage: Eukaryota; Metazoa; Chordata; Mammalia; Rodentia; Muridae. The record is from RNAcentral.
GUCACACCGGAACAUCUCUAAUCUCUGUCAACCACUCAUCUGUUGCUACCUCUACCUAUCGUUUGAACUUUGAAAGCAAGUGACAGAUGGCCUACCAGGUGGUGAGGAAGAGCGCAGCCCUAAACACCCUGCAGUCACAGCUAGAGGAGCGUCAGGGCAGGCUGGAAGCCCUGCAGGCCUGUGUGGUGCAGCUACAGGAGGCGCGGGCUCAGCAGUCCCGGCAGCUGGAGGAACGGCAAGCGGAGAACUCGGCACAGAGAGAAGCCUACGAGACUCUGCGCGAGCAAGCUGCGCACCAGGAAGCGGCACUGCGCAGGCUCCAGGAAGAGGCACGCGACUUGCUGGAGCAACUUGUGCAGCGUAAGGCGCGCGCCGCCGCCGAGCGCAAUCUACGUAACGAGCGUAGAG